Molecule: ribosomal RNA, 662 nt
Filed under: eukaryote marine clone NA37-5
Lineage: Eukaryota
Description: SSU rRNA
Rfam family: Eukaryotic small subunit ribosomal RNA
Source: RNAcentral
AAGGCAGCAGGCGCGCAAAUUACCCAAUCCCGACACGGGGAGGUAGUGACAAGAAAUAGCGAUUCCGGGUCUUUAUAGGUCUGGUUAUUGCAAUGGACGUAUUGUAAAUGCCUACGUGAGUAUCCAUUGGAGGGCAAGUCUGGUGCCAGCAGCCGCGGUAAUUCCAGCUCCAAUAGCGUAUAUUAAAGUUGUUGCAGUUAAAAAGCUCGUAGUUGGAUUUCAGUCUUAGUUCGUCUGGCCCGCUCCCUUGAGGAGCCGAGUGCCGGUUGCGAACUGGACUUCCUUCUAGCAUGAAUCUCCUACCGUUAUGCGGCCGGGAAGGACAACUGGAUCAUUUACUUUGAAGAAAUUAGAGUGUUCAAAGCAAGCUUACGCUGUGAAUAUAUUAGCAUGGAAUAAUAACAUAGGACUCGGGUUCUAUUUUGUUGGUUUCUAGGACUCAAGUAAUGAUUGAUAGGGACAGUUGGGGGUGCUGCUAUUAUAUGGCCAGAGGUGAAAUUCACGGAUUCAUAUAAGAGCAACUUAUGCGAAAGCAUUCACCAAGGAUGUCUUCUUUAAUCAAGAACGAAAGUUGGGGGAUCGAAGACAAUCAGAUACCGUCGUAGUCUCAACCAUAAACUAUGCCGACUAAGGAUUGGUGAACGUUGAAAUUUCGACUCCAU